UUGAAAGGGAAACGAUUGAAGUCAGUCGUACCGGCGGAUAAUCAGCCUUUCGGGUGCGAUUCUGUGGGGCGUGAGGAGCUUAACCGCCUUCAUGUUUUGCAUAUUCGUGCACAUUUGGUGUACUUGUCCGUGUGGUGGGUUAACAUCAAUUUCGGUCGUCAUAAAAUGAUUGGAGGAAUGUAGCUUUGAUCUCGUAUCGAAGUGUUAUAGACUCUGGUAGAUGUGAUGAUUGGGAUUGAGGAUUGCAACGGAUACCCCUUCGGGGCUACUCGUCUGAUCUCUGAAGGUUGCUCCGGUGCCGAAAGCGUGCUUACGGUCAUCGAAAGUGAUUUUCAAAAGGUUAGAACGGGUUAAAUUCGUUAAG
Molecule: ribosomal RNA, 364 nt
Filed under: uncultured Glomeromycotina
Lineage: Eukaryota; Fungi; Glomeromycota
Description: LSU rRNA
Source: RNAcentral